RNAcentral lists this ribosomal RNA (506 nucleotides) under uncultured bacterium. Its description in RNAcentral is "partial 16S ribosomal RNA". It matches the Rfam family "Bacterial small subunit ribosomal RNA", at positions 29 to 523 of the family's 1533-position model. The record is from RNAcentral.
AGUGAACGCUGGCGGUAGGCCUAACACAUGCAAGUCGAACGGCAGCACAGGAGAGCUUGCUCUCUGGGUGGCGAGUGGCGGACGGGUGAGGAAUACAUCGGAAUCUACUUUUUCGUGGGGGAUAACGUAGGGAAACUUACGCUAAUACCGCAUACGACCUACGGGUGAAAGCAGGGGACCUUCGGGUCUUGCGCGAUUGAAUGAGCCGAUGUCGGAUUAGCUAGUUGGCGGGGUAAAGGCCCACCAAGGCGACGAUCCGUAGCUGGUCUGAGAGGAUGAUCAGCCACACUGGAACUGAGACACGGUCCAGACUCCUACGGGAGGCAGCAGUGGGGAAUAUUGGACAAUGGGCGCAAGCCUGAUCCAGCCAUACCGCGUGGGUGAAGAAGGCCUUCGGGUUGUAAAGCCCUCUUGUUGGGAAAGAAAUCCAGCUGGCUAAUACCCGGUUGGGAUGACGGUACCCAAAGAAUAAGCACCGGCUAACUUCGUGCCAGCAGCCGCAGUAA